AAUACGGAACAUAUCCCAGUCCACGUGAUGGAAGCAGUCUUGGAGCUUGGAAUCAGAUUGGUCGGACCAGCGUUGAACAGACCUCAGCGCGGGAGCUUCUGUCUGUAGGCAGGGAGCAACAAAAUGGAGUUGUGGUCAGCUUUUCCGAAAGGAGGGUGGGGGAGGGCCUUAUAUGCGUAGCGGAAGUUAGAAUAGCAAUGAUCCAAGGUUUUACCAGCCCUGGUUGCGCAAUCGAUAUGCUGAUACAAUUUAGGGAGUCUUGUUUUCAGAUUAGCGUUGUUAAAAUCCCCAGCUACAAUGAAUGCAGCCUCAGGAUAUGUGGAUUCCAGUUUGCAAAGAGUCAAAUAAGUUCGUUCAGAGCCAUCGAUGUGUCUGCUUGGGGGGGAAUAUAUACGGCUGUGAUUAUAAUCGAAGAGAAUUCCCUUGGUAGAUAAUGCAGUCGACAUUUGAUUGUGAGGAAUUCUAAGUCAGGUGAACAGAAGGACUUCCUGUAUGACUUCCUGUAUGUUGUUGUGACCACACCACGUCUCGUUAACCAUAAAGCAUACGCCCCCGCCCCUCUUCUUACCAGAAAGAUGUUUGUUUCUGUCGGCGCGAUGCGUGGAGAAACCAGUUGGCUGCACCGACUCCGACAGCGUCUCUCCAGUGAGCCAUGUUUCCGUGAAGCAAAGAACGUUACAGUCUCUGAUGUCCCUCUGGAAUGCUACCCUUGCUCGGAUUUCAUCAACCUUGUUGUCAAGAGACUGGACAUUGGCGAGAAGUAUGCUAGGGAGUGGUGCGCGAUGUGCCCAUCUCCGGAGUCUGACCAGAAGACCGCUUCGUUUCCCUCUUUUACGAAGUCGUUGUUUUGGGUCGCCGGCUGGGAUCCAUUCCGUUGUCCUGGGUGAAAGGCAGAACACAGGAUCCGCUUUGCGAAAAACAUAUUCUUGGUCGUACUGAUGGUGAGUUGACGCUGAUCUUAUAUUCAGUAGUUCUUCUCGACUGUAUGUAAUGAAACCUAAGAUGACCUGGGGUACUAAUGUAAGAAAUAACACGUAAAAAAACAAAAAACUGCAUAGUUUCCUAGGAACGCGAAGCGAGGCGGCCAUCUCUGUCGGAUGAACAGCAUGAGGCAGCCAAACACCAUGAGGCAGCCGAACAACACGAGGCAGCCUAACAACACGAGGCAGCCUAACAACACGAGGCAGCCAAACACCACGAGGCAGCCAAACACCACGAGGCAGCCAAACACCACGAGGCAGCCACACACCACGAGGCAGCCUAACAACACGAGGCAGCCUAACACGAGGCAGCCCAACAACACGAGGCAGCCUAACAAAAUGAGGCAUCCUGACAACACGAGGCAGCCUGACAAAACAACAAAUAUUCUCACUAUAUUCCUUCCCGGGAGACUAGAUCAGACUGUCUGAUAAAUAUAUGAACAGUGUGCCUGUCUCCCUCUCUCUCUCACAAACACACUAGCAGGGCUGUGUAUCUAUCUGAACAAAGUGAUCCUAUUGUGAAGAAGUGGAGGAAGACUGAGUCCCUAUAGAGCCUUAUGGGCCCCGGUCAAAAGGAGUGUACUAUAUAGGGCAUAGGGUGCCAUUAAAGAGGCAGACGAACAGUGGUCUGACACCAGACACAGCCCCAGGCCUCUCUGUGCUGCUGCAGGACCCAACAUCUGCUGCCUGGUCUGGGAUAAUGCAAAAUGUUCAUCUCUCAUGCCCUUUCUACACAAACACACACACGCUCACACACACAAUAAUCUCUCAUGUCCUUUCUCCUGAGGACAGGGCCAUGCCAGAGCAGUGACCUGCCUCUAACUCUCCCAGGAAGACAUCAGAUGGUACACGCAUACGCGUGUGCACACAAACACACGCACAUAAACACGCACAUGCACACACACUCACACUCCAGCGUGCCCUGGUUUGGUUGUGACUUGGGGGUAGAAAGAUGAAAGAAACAAACAUUAAAACAGGUGUGGUCUCCACAAUGCCAGUGUUGAUGGUACAUUAUGGACACUCAGGUGUGGUCUCCACAAUGCCAGUGUUGAUGGUACAUUAUGGACACUCAGGUGAGGUCUCCACAAUGCCAGUGUUGAUGGUACAUUAUGGACACACUCUAAGUUACAUUUGAUACAUAUAGGACAGCGAGUGCAGGGUCCCGUAAUGUAAUGUCUGCCUGUCCGUUCGGGGCCUUAGUAAAAGCCAUUAAAUAUGACUGCGACCCUGUAUGACAACAACCCUAGUUCCUCUGUCAAGGUCGUCUCUCUCGGGACAUCCUCUCUAUCCCUCUGUCAAGGUCGUCUCUCUCGGGACAUCCUCUCUGUUCCUCUGUGAAGGUCGUCUCUCUCGGGACAUAGUCUCUGUUCCUCUAUCAAGGAUGUCUCUCUCGGGACAUCCUCUCUGUUCCUCUGUCAAGUCUGUCUCUCUCAGGACAUCCUCUCUGUUCCUCUGUCAAGGCUGUCUCUCUCAGGACAUCCUCUCUGUUCCUCUGUCAAGGACAUCCUCUCUGUUCCUCUGUCAAGGCCAUCUCUCAGGACAUCCUCUCUGUUCCUCUGUCAAGGAUGUCUCUCUCGGGACAUCCUCUCUGUUCCUCUGUCAAGGUCAUCUCUCUCGGGACAUCCUCUCUGUUCCUCUGUCAAGGUCGUCUCUCUCAGGACAUCCUCUCUGUUCCUCUAUCAAGGAUGUCUCUCUCUGGACAUCCUCUCUGGCCCUCUGUCAAGGAUGUCUCUCUCGGGACAUCCUCUCUGUUCCUCUGUCAAGGAUGUCUCUCUCGGGACAUCCUCU
Molecule: long non-coding RNA, 2768 nt
Organism: Oncorhynchus tshawytscha (Chinook salmon)
Lineage: Eukaryota; Metazoa; Chordata; Actinopteri; Salmoniformes; Salmonidae
Source: Ensembl